RNAcentral lists this ribosomal RNA (540 nucleotides) under uncultured bacterium. Its description in RNAcentral is "bacterial SSU rRNA". It matches the Rfam family "Bacterial small subunit ribosomal RNA", at positions 777 to 1314 of the family's 1533-position model. The record is from RNAcentral.
AAUAGAUACCCGGUAGUCCAUGCCGUAAACGUUGGGAACUAGAUGUAGGGCCUGUUCCACGGGUUCUGGUGUCGUAGCUAACGCAUUAAGUUCCCCGCCUGGGGAGUACGGCCGCAAGGCUAAAACUCAAAGGAAUUGACGGGGGCCCGCACAAGCGGCGGAGCAUGCGGAUUAAUUCGAUGCAACGCGAAGAACCUUACCAAGGCUUGACAUAUAGAAGAACACUGCAGAGAUGCAGGACUCUUUGGACACUUCUAUACAGGUGGUGCAUGGUUGUCGUCAGCUCGUGUCGUGAGAUGUUCGGUUAAGUCCGGCAACGAGCGCAACCCUCGUCCUAUGUUGCCAGCGGGUGAUGCCGGGAACUCAUGGGGUACUGCCGUGGUCAACACGGAGGAAGGUGGGGAUGACGUCAAAUCAUCAUGCCCCUUAUGUCUUGGGCUUCACGCAUGCUACAAUGGCCGGUACAAAGGGCGGCGAUACCGUAAGGUGGAGCGAAUCCCAAAAAGCCGGUCUCAGUUCGGAUUGGGGUCUGCAACUCCG